GUUUGAAUACAAAAAAUCAGAAAUACUGAAAAUAUCUCAGCGGGUUUUUAAUAUAAACUUUGCCGGAUGAUGAGCCAAAUGUCGGUUAGCUAACCUCGCUAGCAUCAGCAUUUCCUGUGGUUGUUUCACGGAGGGCUGGCAGCUGAAACUACAAGAACAAACAGUCAUCACAGCCCACAGGGGGCGCUGUUUCCAUGAAUUACCGUACACAUUUAAAAGCUGCUGUCAGUUUGUAUCGCAGUCCUGCUUUCAUUCAAGAUACAAGAUACAAGAUGCAAGAUGCAAGAUGCAAGAUACAAGACAGGUUUAUUUGUCACACACACAAUCAUACACGGUACAAUGUGCAGUGAAAUUAUUUUUGUCCCUGCUACCAAAAAAUAGGUAAGUAAAAUAGAAUGAGUAAAAUUAAAUAUUAUAAAAUGGAAACCUUACUACAGGAUGGCUUAAAAAGUUGAAAAUAAUGCUAAAAAUGAUCAUAUAAAAAGUGUUGUGAUAUACAGUACCUCCUUAGAUUUUAGAGUGAUAUUAUAUUGUUAAUUUUUAAUCAGCCUCUCACAAAUCCAGCCGCCCUGUUAAAAUAUUGGAAAUCCCUGAACUUAACCAUACAGGAGGACUACGACUACAUCAGCUUUACUUCCCUAAAACGAAGCAUGAAGUAAAUGAUAAAACAAAUCCAUUUAAAGCAGUGUUUCUCAAACUGAUCCAGCCUCCUUUCAUAGCAAAACGAAAAAGUCCAACACAAUAAAUUAGUGUAUUGUUGACAACCACUGACUGCACGCUGGGUAAAGCCAUAUUGGCAGGUAUUUUAAUGAAAUAACAUUAAAACAUGAGCUGCAUCUGUCUUUUCACUUUUUCGAAUGUUGUGCCACUUUCCAGCUGCACCGUCCAGUUCAAGUCUUAUCUCUUCUGUCUGUUUUAUGGCAAAUGUUUUCACUAAGUUUCUCUUUAAGCAAACAACAGACAGCCCUGGUGCCAAACUGUUUCUGAGAAACCAUGUGACACAAAGUCUCCCACCUCCCCCACCUGUCACUGACGGUGACUAGAAGGUCAUUAAACCUCAGCUUUGAAAAUGAUUUAAAAACAAGCCUGGAGUCAGUGAAGAUCAUUUCUCAACACUGGAAUCUGCGAAAAGAGAUGAAAGUGAAGAAAUGUUUCAGUGCGUCGAAACGCAAAUGAGCUGAAUAAGUUUUACUGAAGCGUCAAUACUCUGGAUAUUUGCUCAACAGAUAUUAAUGUAUAAGUAUUAAAGUAUAAAUAAUAUCUUAGUGUAGUCCUUGUUGUGGUUAAAAUGUAACAUUAGAUAUCAAGCAUCAGGAAAACUGCAAUCAAAAUCAUUUAUCUGGCUGGUGUCGCUCCCCUGCAACCAUAGAGACACCAUGUUCUGUUACGUCUUCAUAUCUGAGGUCUCGAAUAUUCAAUUUGAAUAUUAUUUGAAUUUUGUCACGUCAUACUAUUUCAAGGUUCACACCAACACGACAUCAGAGCUUUCCUGUUUAGACAUGAUACAGCCAAGGUUUCCCAAGGCCUUAAAGACUCUAUAAACUGGGUCCCAAUUCUCCCACCAAAUCAUUCCAGCAGCUGACAUCAAGAGGUUUGGUGAGUCCUCGUGCCCUUUAUGGAAGCAUUUGAUAUUUUAAUGUGACCUUAAGAGGACAACUUGAAAAAUUUCCCCAGAAAUGGAAGGUAACUUCAUAAAUAUGUUGCCAGCAUAUCAUCAGAAUAACUGUGAGCUGCUGCUGACUAUACUCUUUGUCGAAGUUAUCUGUGUAGCUACGGUUAGCUUGGUUAGCCGUGGAGCUAGUGGCCCCUCUAGCUUGGAUUGUGAACCCUGAUCACAGGUGGAGUUACCACAGGAGUGAACCCAUCUGAACACCAGGCUUGGAUCAGACAUAGCCUUAGAGGCCAGCCAGUUUGAGGACAGGGGACACGGUACCAAAGUGAUCUACAGCAUCUUAGACAAGGACUAUGACUGCCUUGACAAGAGGAUAAAGCAGGGACAGGGAGAAUAUUUAUUUGGACCAAACUAGAAAUGAUUGUGAUUGAUUGUGUGAUUAUGAGACAUUUCAGCUCAUCUUAGCUUAGUAAAACAGAGAAACUUUAGCUCAGAAGGGGUACAGUCGUAUUUUUCUGUUUAGUAAGGAAAAUAGGUCAGGACUGAACUACGGACCAGAACCCAAACACACGACUCUCAAAGUUUCAAAAUAAAGUCUAAAAACACACACAAAACUAAGAAACAAAAACUCUCCAGACUGAAGCUUGGCUAAGAAAACCACCAGAACAAAAUAACAAGACCUGGUAACAUCUGACACAAGGGACAAGACCAACUGGCACAGGACAAAGGGAG
This is a long non-coding RNA of Scatophagus argus, 2344 nucleotides long. RefSeq lists it as uncharacterized. The record is from RefSeq and is a predicted model, not a curated record. NCBI's taxonomy places the organism in Eukaryota, Metazoa, Chordata, Actinopteri, Scatophagidae. The transcript is spliced from 3 exons.